AAGUCGUAACAAGGUUUCCGUAGGUGAACCUGCGGAAGGAUCAUUAUCGAGUUUUGAAAUGGGUUGUAGCUGGCCUCCCGAGGCAUGUGCACGCCCUGCUCAUUCCACUCUACACCUGUGCACUUACUGUGGGUUCUAGAGGACGCCUUUAGGGGUGGUUUUCUGGGCUCAUGUUUCAUUUACAAGCACUUCAGUAUCAGAAUGUGUCUUGCGUUGUAACGCACCUAUAUACAACUUUCAGCAACGGAUCUCUUGGCUCUC
Molecule: unclassified non-coding RNA, 261 nt
Filed under: air metagenome
Description: partial contains small subunit ribosomal RNA, internal transcribed spacer 1, and 5.8S ribosomal RNA
Rfam family: Eukaryotic small subunit ribosomal RNA (bases 1-46)
Source: RNAcentral